This 67-nucleotide transfer RNA is filed under the name Calacta lugubris. RNAcentral describes it as "tRNA-Ser". Lineage: Eukaryota; Metazoa; Arthropoda; Insecta; Hemiptera; Plataspidae. The record is from RNAcentral.
GAGGGUUGAAGAAUCUAAAAGAAGCCGCUAACUAUCUUUUAAAGCGGUUAAACUCCGUUUACCCUCU